UGUCAUGUCCUUAAAAUCUAGACUUCA
RNAcentral lists this non-coding RNA (27 nucleotides) under Rattus norvegicus (Norway rat). Lineage: Eukaryota; Metazoa; Chordata; Mammalia; Rodentia; Muridae. The record is from RNAcentral.